UGCGGCUGGAUCCCCUCCUUUCUAGAGUACGCACUAAGCGUCAUGUGUCCACACUUAUCGGCUUGUUGUAGUUUUGAGGCGUGGGCCGGGGCGCGAUCGCCAGUCUGCAAGGCCUUCGAUUCAGGGGGUCUGUAGCUCAGUCGGUUAGAGCACCGUCUUGAUAAGGCGGGGGUCGUUGGUUCGAAUCCAACCAGACCCACCAACGAACAUCGGGUUUCGGGGGUGUAGCUCAGUUGGGAGAGCACCUGCUUUGCAAGCAGGGGGUCAUCGGUUCGAUCCCGUUCACCUCCACCACUCUCAGAGUACAUCGCUAAGUUGUUUGAUUUAGCGAUGGUCUUUGGACCUCAAUGUUGUUCUUUAACAAUUCGGAAGAAGUGACGUAAUGUGUGCAUGAUCAAUUGAUCAAGCACGGGUUGCGAUUGUAUCGAAUUAGUAUUUCUCAGAUUCUCAAGUCUAAGGAAUACGGCACAACGCUUCACUCAUGCCUAUGACUUGCCUCGAAAGAGGAUUCAAAGUUAUAGGGUCAAGCGAAUAAGUGCAUGUGGUGGAUGCCUUGGCGAUCACAGGCGAUGAAGGACGCGAUAGCCUGCGUUAAGCUGCGGGGAGCUGGCAAAUAAGCUUUGAUCCGCAGAUUUCCGAAUGGGGAAACCCGG
This 653-nucleotide unclassified non-coding RNA is filed under the name uncultured bacterium. Its description in RNAcentral is "partial contains 16S ribosomal RNA, 16S-23S ribosomal RNA intergenic spacer, and 23S ribosomal RNA". The stretch from base 522 to 653 matches the Rfam family "Bacterial large subunit ribosomal RNA", at positions 1 to 131 of the family's 2925-position model. The record is from RNAcentral.